AGUUGAAAUUUAUUUAUAGGCAUCCCUUAAGAAAAGAUUUUAUGAAAAUCGUCCCCUACCCGGGGGUGCUUGGAAUUCAAAUUUUUUACAUAAAAUGUU
RNAcentral lists this microRNA precursor (99 nucleotides) under Manduca sexta (tobacco hornworm). Its description in RNAcentral is "microRNA mse-mir-2565 precursor". Lineage: Eukaryota; Metazoa; Arthropoda; Insecta; Lepidoptera; Sphingidae. The record is from miRBase by way of RNAcentral.